UCAGACGAGGAGGGCUGACGAGCUGGCCCGCGAUUGGCCCGCAGCGCCUGGGCGGGGCCUGCGGGGAGGAAGGGCUGCAGCUCACAGCAACAGAGUUUAGACCCGUCUUUGCUUCAUCAUCUGAAGGUAAAAAAUUUUCCAGCCUCCGCCGGCGGCUCGCAGAGUACAAUAAACAGGGACGCAGAACUGUUUGCAUGGACCUCGCUCGCUCAUGAUGCGGUGGAGAAGCCGCGGCCACUCGGUGCUGCCGGAUGCUCUCGGGGCCACUGUCCAUGGGGAGGACGAGCAGAGCUGAACAAGGAAGGCUUCCAAAUCUCACUUUCUACUCCAUCACCGUCUGUGCUUAUCGGGAAGAUACAUUUCAAGCUACUCACCCUCCAACAACUUACCAACAACUCGAAAUAUAGCCGAUCUCAGGUCUUUGAAAGCUGCAGUGUUUACGUUUGACUCUAUCUGUUUAUGUCUGCACCUGACAGCCAUUGCUGUGUCCAGACUCGUCACUUGUGUGGUGGUAAACUGAGGCUGAGAGGGCAGUUGUGACUUGCCCCAGAUCUCCCAGGCAGUAUGUGCUGUGCAGAAGUUAAAUCUCAGUUCUUUGAACUCCCAACUGUGUCCAUUUCCGGCAGCUAAGUGAGUGUUCCAUGGAGCACCCAUCACACACACACACACACACACACACACACACACACACACACACACACACACACCCUGGGUGACCAAGUGUGGAAGGAGAAGCAGGGAAAACUAAGCCAUCAGUUUAUGACAGAGAACAG
Molecule: long non-coding RNA, 773 nt
Filed under: Cricetulus griseus (Chinese hamster)
Lineage: Eukaryota; Metazoa; Chordata; Mammalia; Rodentia; Cricetidae
Description: lncRNA (ENSCGRG00015030720.1)
Source: RNAcentral